Molecule: ribosomal RNA, 843 nt
Filed under: Botryotrichum murorum
Lineage: Eukaryota; Fungi; Ascomycota; Sordariomycetes; Sordariales; Chaetomiaceae
Description: LSU rRNA
Rfam family: Eukaryotic large subunit ribosomal RNA
Source: RNAcentral
AAAGAAACCACAGGGAUUGCCCCAGUAACGGCGAGUGAAGCGGCAACAGCUCAAAUUUGAAAUCUGGCUUCGGCCCGAGUUGUAAUUUGCAGAGGAAGCUUUAGGCGCGGCACCAUCUGAGUCCCCUGGAACGGGGCGCCACAGAGGGUGAGAGCCCCGUAUAGAUGGACGCCUAGCCUGUGUAAAGCUCCUUCGACGAGUCGAGUAGUUUGGGAAUGCUGCUCUAAAUGGGAGGUAAAUUUCUUCUAAAGCUAAAUACCGGCCAGAGACCGAUAGCGCACAAGUAGAGUGAUCGAAAGAUGAAAAGCACUUUGAAAAGAGGGUUAAAUAGCACGUGAAAUUGUUGAAAGGGAAGCGCUUGUGACCAGACUUGCGCCGGGCGGAUCAUCCGGUGUUCUCACCGGUGCACUCCGCCCGGCUCAGGCCAGCAUCGGUUCUCGUGGGGGGACAAAGGUCCCGGGAACGUAGCUCCUCCGGGAGUGUUAUAGCCWGGGGCGUAAUGCCCUCGCGGGGACCGAGGACCGCGCUUCGGCAAGGAUGCUGGCGUAAUGGUCAUCAGCGACCCGUCUUGAAACACGGACCAAGGAGUCAAGGUUUUGCGCGAGUGUUUGGGUGUAAAACCCGCACGCGUAAUGAAAGUGAACGUAGGUGAGAGCUUCGGCGCAUCAUCGACCGAUCCUGAUGUUUUCGGAUGGAUUUGAGUAGGAGCGUUAAGCCUUGGACCCGAAAGAUGGUGAACUAUGCUUGGAUAGGGUGAAGCCAGAGGAAACUCUGGUGGAGGCUCGCAGCGGUUCUGACGUGCAAAUCGAUCGUCAAAUCUGAGCAUGGGGCGAAAGACUAAUC